Molecule: long non-coding RNA, 336 nt
Filed under: Chelonoidis abingdonii (Abingdon island giant tortoise)
Lineage: Eukaryota; Metazoa; Chordata; Testudines; Testudinidae
Description: lncRNA (ENSCABG00000014946.1)
Source: RNAcentral
CAGAAGUGGAAUUACAGAGCCCAACAUCUAAAAGUCCUCAUACGUCUGAUAAAAACAUAGAAUGUGAAAGCCAAAAUUUUGGUGAAAAUGACAAGCAAAGCACUGAGGAAGAUAUUUCCAGAGUUGUACCAGCCAAACAACAUGCAUCACCUAAAUCAACAUAUAGAACAGCUAAAUCUAACAGAAGAGAAAAUGAGAUGUCUCCUUUUAGCAAACUUUAUGAAUUGUUGAAAAAUGAGAUUGAUGUGAAAACACAGAAAGAUGGCAACGAAGAGAUACCUAUGCCACGACAAGCAGAGACUAAUGCCCAGCAAAUUUCAUUAUUGGUAUUUCCAU